RNAcentral lists this ribosomal RNA (442 nucleotides) under Mantidactylus melanopleura. RNAcentral's name for it is "partial 16S ribosomal RNA". It matches the Rfam family "Bacterial large subunit ribosomal RNA", at positions 1991 to 2597 of the family's 2925-position model. The record is from RNAcentral. Lineage: Eukaryota; Metazoa; Chordata; Amphibia; Anura; Mantellidae.
UAUCAACGGCACCACGAGGGUUAGACUGUCUCCUUUUUCAAAUCAGUGAAAUUAAUCUCCCCGUGAAGAAGCGGGGAUACUCAUAUAAGACGAGAAGACCCCAUGGAGCUUCAAACCCAACUACACCCCUAGCUCUUAUAGCCCCACAACCCCCCUAGGCACCGUGUGCUUGGUUUUAGGUUGGGGCGACCGCGGAGUACAAUAAAACCUCCACAAUGAAUGGGAACACCCCCUUAUCUGAGGGCCACACCCCCUAAGAAUUAGAACACUAACAUAAAAUGAUCCAUUACUUGAUCAAUGAACCAAGUUACCCUGGGGAUAACAGCGCAAUCCAUUUCAAGAGCCCCUAUCGACAAAUGGGUUUACGACCUCGAUGUUGGAUCAGGGUACCCCAGUGGUGCAGCAGCUACUAACGGUUCGUUUGUUCAACGAUUAAAACCCU